This 447-nucleotide ribosomal RNA is filed under the name uncultured bacterium. RNAcentral describes it as "bacterial SSU rRNA". It matches the Rfam family "Bacterial small subunit ribosomal RNA", at positions 329 to 793 of the family's 1533-position model. The record is from RNAcentral.
UGCCAGACUCCUACGGGAGGCAGCAGUGGGGAAUAUUGCACAAUGGGGGAAACCCUGAUGCAGCGACGCCGCGUGAGCGAUGAAGUAUUUCAGUAUGUAAAGCUCUAUCAGCAGGGAAGAAAAUGACGGUACCUGACUAAGAAGCCCCGGCUAACUACGUGCCAGCAGCCGCGGUAAUACGUAGGGGGCAAGCGUUAUCCGGAUUUACUGGGUGUAAAGGGAGCGUAGACGGUCCUGCAAGCCAGAUGUGAAAGCCCGGGGCUCAACCCCGGGACUGCAUUUGGAACUGUAAGGCUAGAGUGUCGGAGAGGCAGGCGGAAUUCCUAGUGUAGCGGUGAAAUGCGUAGAUAUUAGGAGGAACACCAGUGGCGAAGGCGGCCUGCUGGACGAUGACUGACGUUGAGGCUCGAAAGCGUGGGGAGCAAACAGGAUUAGAUACCCCCGUAC